GCAUAAAGAAAGGGAGCAUCUCAGGGGUUACCACAGUCUGGCAGGCUAGGUGCUCUUCAGCUACUGCCUUUCCUACAAGGAGCUGAAGCACAAGCUGUUACACAGGUACCACUGAAGAAGAGGAUACGUCUGCAUUACCCCCCAUGAUCUUGCCCCGAGCCCCUCCUUAAGGAACACAAUCUUGAUCAUCGCUGAAUCCUUUUAUAUCCUAAUGGGAAUUAACCUCAAAUAAAAUAUGACUGGUUAAAAAAAAAGGUUCAUAGUUAAUAAAAGCAUUAACAGUACAAUUACUUUCAAAAAAUCUUUCAGGAAAUAGCCUUUAAAGUGAAGAAGAAUAUUCUGUAGACAAUCAUUACGAAUGUAAAGGUGGUUAUAGUACCUUGACUUGUAUCACAGAUCUUAUUGCACACAAUUUGUACUAGAGGAAAACCUUGAAGCAGAUGUUCAAGUUUUGUUCAACAUCAGGGAAUUUAUAUUGGUGAAGAGUCCUGCAAAUGUAAUGAAUUUAGAAACACUGUUUUUUGAAAAACUACAGCUUAGAAAAGACCAGAGUUUAUACUAAAAUAUGUUUUUGCAGAUGCAGUUAACAUGAAAGAAUAUUUAAUUCGAAAUUGAUUUUAUGUAAAUAUCAGAGAAUUUACAGUAGAAUAAGGCACUGACACUUCAGACAUUACACUAAAUCAGAGUGUUGAGUAUAGAAACUAAUCCACAACUAAAGUUGUUAGAUAAAUUAUUUGUGUAUACCUCUAAAAGAUUUUUUGAAGCAUUGUUAUUACAUUGAAAGUAUAUGUGUUUCCUUGAAAACAAAAAUUUGAAAGCUGAAUAAUGAUGUAAUACAGCUUUCAAAUUAUGCUGUUAUUUUAUUCCUAUUGUAUUCACAUGUGAAAGCAUGUGAUCAAUUGUUGUGCAUCAGAAAUAUUAGAGAUUCUUUUUUAUUGGGCAUUACUUAUGACCUUUUCUAUAAAAGAGCAAGGAUAUUAAAAUGUAAGAUGCAGAAUGAAAAUAUAAGUGAAGGGGCUGUUUGUAGUUAACUCAUGUUAAUUGAUGGAUAAGGUAGGUGUUCAGAAUAACACUUUUCUACAUGAGAGAGAGAGAAAUUAAUUAUAGUUAAAAGUAUUAAAAUAGCAUAUUUUACUAUUAUGUAAUAAAAUGAAGUACAAUUAAAAAUUGUUAGAUUAUGUGUGAACUCUAUUUUGUUUAUCAUGUUAAGACUAUUUUGUGUGUUUAAUGAAGCAUUAUUACACCACUAACUUUAACCUAUCCCACCUUACUCAAGGCGGGUGGAUCACGAGGUCAAGAGAUCG
Molecule: long non-coding RNA, 1304 nt
Organism: Sapajus apella (tufted capuchin)
Lineage: Eukaryota; Metazoa; Chordata; Mammalia; Primates; Cebidae
Exons: 3
Source: RefSeq, a predicted model, not a curated record